UCCUCAAAAAUUCUCUCUCUCUUCCUCACCCAUCACUCACGCCUAACUCUCUCUCUCCCUCACCUCUCACUUUCCUCCAUUUUCCUCCAUUGAAGAAGACCUUCGGAGCUUCCAAAAAUAUUACCAAACACCUCAAUCCACUCUAAAAUCUUCCAUAAACACAUUCUAGCUACUUAUAUUCAAGAGAAUCCUUGAAGAAGAGCUUCAAAGCUAGAGUGAGAAAGUGUGAAUCUUGGUAAGAAAUUUGGGCCCGAGCGAGACGAAGAAGUAAGUUGCCUGAUUUCUUUCCAGGAUUAGCGAAGGACUUCAGACUAAGCGAGGAGGGAGAUUGGUCUGGUGCUGGUGGGGAGUUGUUGGAGGAUGUAUUUACUUUAUCGUAUUUCCAUUUUGACGAUAAAGUCUUGAUGAUUGAUAUACUUUGAUUUUCUUUUGAAUUUAAGCAAUGUACUCACGGUUAUAUGUCUUCAUACAUAUAAUCGAUUCGCCUUUUGCUGCGAUACUCUGCAUAUUAUGAUUCCUUACGAAAAAUGAGCGAUACCCGUUUUGUUUU
Long non-coding RNA from Salvia miltiorrhiza (redroot sage), 550 nucleotides. RefSeq lists it as uncharacterized. Lineage: Eukaryota; Viridiplantae; Streptophyta; Magnoliopsida; Lamiales; Lamiaceae. The record is from RefSeq and is a predicted model, not a curated record. The transcript has 3 exons.